CUGCAUCCUUGAGGAACUUGGCAUAGCCUGGCAUAUCUCUCAAAGCAUCAAGUAAAGGAAUAUUGAUGUGCAGCUUUGAAAAUACCUCCAUAAACUUGGCUAACUUCUCAUCCAUCUUUGGCUUUGCCAGGCGAUUCGGGAAAGGCGCUACAGGCUUGUACUCUGGCCUGGGAAACGUAGGAGUAGGAUUGGGCUCCUUAACAGCAGAAGAACUCGACGCCUUAGAAGUAGGCGGCGAAUCACAAACAAUCGUCUCCAAAUCAUCCUCCUCAACAAUCUCUACACCUUUUCCC
Molecule: long non-coding RNA, 293 nt
Filed under: Salvia miltiorrhiza (redroot sage)
Lineage: Eukaryota; Viridiplantae; Streptophyta; Magnoliopsida; Lamiales; Lamiaceae
Description: long non-coding RNA (SMIL_LNC004231)
Source: RNAcentral